This 303-nucleotide ribosomal RNA is filed under the name uncultured bacterium. RNAcentral describes it as "partial 16S ribosomal RNA". It matches the Rfam family "Bacterial small subunit ribosomal RNA", at positions 507 to 807 of the family's 1533-position model. The record is from RNAcentral.
AGCAGUAGCCACGGUAAAACGUAGGUGGCAAGCGUUGUCCGGAAUUAUUGGGCGUAAAGCGCGCGCAGGUGGUUUAAUAAGUCUGAUGUGAAAGCCCACGGCUCAACCGUGGAGGGUCAUUGGAAACUGUUAAACUUGAGUGCAGGAGAGAAAAGUGGAAUUCCUAGUGUAGCGGUGAAAUGCGUAGAGAUUAGGAGGAACACCAGUGGCGAAGGUGGCUUUUUGGCCUGUAACUGACACUGAGGCGCGAAAGCGUGGGGAGCAAACAGGAUUAGAUACCCGCGUAGUCCCUGUCUCUUAUAC